UGAGUAACCUGCCCCAGACUCUGGGAUAAGCACUGGAAACGGUGUCUAAUACCGGAUACGAACUUCAGCCGCAUGGCUAGGAGUUGGAAAGAAUUUCGGUCUGGGAUGGACUCGCGGCCUAUCAGCUAGUUGGUGAGGUAACGGCCCACCAAGGCGACGACGGGUAGCCGGCCUGAGAGGGUGACCGGCCACACUGGGACUGAGACACGGCCCAGACCUCCGUACGGGGAGGCAG
RNAcentral lists this ribosomal RNA (235 nucleotides) under uncultured bacterium. RNAcentral's name for it is "partial 16S ribosomal RNA". It matches the Rfam family "Bacterial small subunit ribosomal RNA", at positions 118 to 351 of the family's 1533-position model. The record is from RNAcentral.